RNAcentral lists this transfer RNA (72 nucleotides) under Rhamnusium bicolor. RNAcentral describes it as "tRNA-Gly". It matches the Rfam family "tRNA". From Rfam's summary of the family: Transfer RNA (tRNA) molecules are approximately 80 nucleotides in length. Their secondary structure includes four short double-helical elements and three loops (D, anti-codon, and T loops). The record is from RNAcentral. Lineage: Eukaryota; Metazoa; Arthropoda; Insecta; Coleoptera; Cerambycidae.
GCGAUGGUGCUGUAAUGGUCAGCAUAGUUGCCUUUCAAGCAGUUGAUCCGGGUUCGAUUCUCGGCCAUCGCA